Molecule: RNA transcript, 1177 nt
Organism: Olea europaea var. sylvestris
Lineage: Eukaryota; Viridiplantae; Streptophyta; Magnoliopsida; Lamiales; Oleaceae
Exons: 3
Source: RefSeq, a predicted model, not a curated record
AAUAGGUUAAGACAUGCCGAGUCAAUUUUUGAGAAGGAGCAGGAGGAGGAAAAUUGGUGGCGACGAUGCAUAUAAAAUAUGGAGAAAUGCAGAUACGGACGUUCUAUGGGAAAUUUUCUUCUCCUACCAGAAGAAGAUUUGUUCUUUAAGAUUUCAAAGGUUUGUCAACGGUGGCGAUAUGUAUGUUGGGAGAUUUUGUUCUGGAUAAAUUACCAUACUAUAGAUUUCUCGGAGUUGAAAGAAGUUCUUUAUCAAGGGUAUAGUCCACGCAGAGUAAUGUCAAAAUCGAAGCACGGUACUUAUUUUGGGGAAUUUGGCAUAAGUUUACAGUACGAAAACAUAUUACCCCAUGGAUUGAACUGGAUCUUGGACUCUGUUGCCUAUAGAGAUCGUCUGAACUAUGUUACAGAAGUGAUUUUACCAAGUAAUAUUUACACAAGUGAUGACAACCUCGUUCACAUUAGCAAAAGGUUACCAAAUCUUAAAAAGUUAAGACUGUUCAGCGCGGGGGAUUUAUAAGGGCUAGCAGGAAUUGGAAGAAGCUGGAAGAGUUAUCAAUAGGAAGUCGCACAAACUGCAGGAGCUUGAAUUCUAUCUGGUUUUGAACUGCCAUUCUCUGGAGAAUCCAGCCUUAAGUUCGACAAUAUUAUUUCCUUGCACGUUAGAGAUCUUCGUCAGCUUCGAGUUUUGACAAUUACAAGUGCCGGGGUACAGAAGGAGGGGGUAGAGACUAUUAUGGCCAACUGUGAAAUGUUAUCAAGGCUAAAUCUUGUUGACUGCGCUAGAUUGGACUCUGGAAUGUAUCGUCUUCCUACCAUCUCAGCAGAAGUGAAAAGGAAUCAUACAAAAUGGUACUUGACGCACAAGAGGAGUUGUCUAGCAUACAAGAGUUGAUUGAGCAGUUUUGGACUUUGUGACACUGAGACGAUGCUUGAUAUAUGUGCGGUACCAGUAAUUGCAGAAAAGUGCAAGAAGUCAAGGAAAGCUCACCCACAUGUUAGCCAUGUAUAGCUGUUGAUGGCUUGAUGCAAUUAGAAUUUAAUUCGUCGAGUUGACUUUUUUAUUGUGAACCCAAUUCCAUAAUUGAACGUUGGAGGCGGAAAAAUGCAUGUGAUCGCGAAUGAAAUGGAUCAUGUCUUGUGUAAACAAUACUGUGUUAAUAUAUGGGUAUGUUUUC